RNAcentral lists this unclassified non-coding RNA (395 nucleotides) under fungal sp. RNAcentral's name for it is "partial internal transcribed spacer region". Lineage: Eukaryota; Fungi. The record is from RNAcentral.
AAGUCGUAACAAGGUUUCCGUAGGUGAACCCCCCCGUGAACGUACAUUCCUUCUCCGCUUACAGAAAAUUGGUUGCAAUCCCUGGUAAAUCAUCGCCAAACAGUGUUGAUUCAGGGACUUCUAACACGUAAGUGUUUAACCCAGAUAUCCCAAGGGUUGAGUGCGCUUUCGAUUUGCAAAAAUGAACGUAAUCGUUGUGAAAGUGUUCAACCUGAUUAUUUUUAGUAGGAAGUGUACGAGAUGCUGUCAGGUAGACUGCUUUAACGAGCGGGUACCAGUAGGCCGACACGGCCGGUAUCGGACACGUCCCUCUUGACCCCUUGAAACGAAGGUAUGAUUUUACGAAAGGUCAAGUACUAACUGAACAACUGUUAACAAUGGAUAUCUUGGUUCUC